GCGCCCGUAGCUCAGUUGGCAGAGCAGCUGACUCUUAAUCAGCGGGUCCGGGGUUCGAAUCCCUGCGGGCGCACCA
RNAcentral lists this transfer RNA (76 nucleotides) under Planctomycetota bacterium. RNAcentral's name for it is "tRNA-Lys". It matches the Rfam family "tRNA". From Rfam's summary of the family: Transfer RNA (tRNA) molecules are approximately 80 nucleotides in length. Their secondary structure includes four short double-helical elements and three loops (D, anti-codon, and T loops). RNAcentral also lists the same sequence under 1 other name. Lineage: Bacteria; Pseudomonadati; Planctomycetota. The record is from RNAcentral.